This 460-nucleotide ribosomal RNA is filed under the name uncultured bacterium. RNAcentral's name for it is "SSU rRNA". It matches the Rfam family "Bacterial small subunit ribosomal RNA", at positions 26 to 518 of the family's 1533-position model. The record is from RNAcentral.
AGAACGAACGCUGGCGGCAUGCCUAACACAUGCAAGUCGAACGUGAUCCAUGACUUCGGUUGUGGUGAAAGUGGCAAACGGGUGAGUAACGCGUGGGAAUCUGCCCAGAGGUAGGGAAUAACCGCGGGAAACUGCGGCUAAUACCCUAUGUGCCCUACGGGGCAAAAGAUUUAUCGCCUUUGGAGGAGCCCGCGUCGGAUUAGGUAGUUGGUAGGGUAACGGCCUACCAAGCCUACGAUCCGUAGCUGGUCUGAGAGGAUGAUCAGCCACACUGGGACUGAGAUACGGCCCAGACUCCUACGGGAGGCAGCAGUGGGGAAUAUUGGACAAAUGGGGGCGAACCCUGAUCCAGCAAUGCCGCGUGAGUGAUGAAGGCCUUCGGGUUGUAAAGCUCUUUCGGCGGGGAAGAUGAUGACGGUACCCGCAGAAGAAGCCCCGGCUAACUUCGUGCCAGCAGCGC